UUCAUUUAUCAAGUGUGAAUUGGGUAGGCC
RNAcentral lists this non-coding RNA (30 nucleotides) under Mus musculus (house mouse). The record is from RNAcentral. Lineage: Eukaryota; Metazoa; Chordata; Mammalia; Rodentia; Muridae.